This 4097-nucleotide long non-coding RNA is filed under the name Capra hircus (goat). Its description in RNAcentral is "lncRNA (ENSCHIG00010026739.1)". The record is from RNAcentral. Lineage: Eukaryota; Metazoa; Chordata; Mammalia; Artiodactyla; Bovidae.
ACAAACUAUAUAAAUAUUAAUAGAAGGUAAAGGGAAAAUAAAUAUUUUAUAACCCUGGUAAGAAUUCCUUCUUUACAAAGACACAAAACUGAAAACACAUAAGAGAAAAACAAUGAAUUUAAAGACACCAAAACUAAAAUUUUUGUGUGACCCAAAAAAAAGGCAACAGAUUUGGCAGACAGAACUCGUAACAUAAGAAAGGAUUAAUAAUUAAGACAUGUAAAAGAUGUCAAAACAUCCAUUAAAAAGAUACACCGCACAAUAGCAAAGUGAAAGCCCGUGUUCUACCAGACACACUCUAGAAGUACAGCAAUGAAAUGGGUGGUGCUGGUGAGCAAAGAGAGACAGGCUUUAUUUCAUGGUGUUAUGACAGAUCCGAUACCCUAAGCUUGCACCUACUGACAACAAUUUAAAAUGUUAGAUGAAACACUCUUUUAAAGGUAUUCCAAAAUGUAUCUCUGAUCAGGCAGAGCGUAAGAAACCGGCAGGGAAAAAAGUGAAAGAUAUACUCCAGGAGGGCAGUGGGGUUUUACCAUUUCUCUGAACUCUGGUGGCCCAGAGCUUCUGAUUCGUUGAAUGCGUGGGGCGUCAGAGAUAAGCAGUAAAGCCCAUGGUUCCUACAAGGGGGUGAGCUCAAAAGGGGCUUCUGAAUACAGUUGGGAUCACAAAGUCCUUCGCCCACAGUGUAAAGGUGAAUGAGAAAUAAACCCCUGUACAGAAGAAAAAGGCAAGGACACAGGUCUGAGUUACUGUUUUAGAAGGGAAAGCACUUCCCUGAGAAUUUCUAACCACCAGGGGGCCUCGUGCAGGUAUCCGGCCCAAAUUUCCACGACACUGACCAGGGAAGUCCAAAACAAUAGCAACCUAACCAGCUGUAAAUGUACCCUUCAGGUAGCUAUGCCCCCAGGCAACUGGCAAAAGCAAACACAAUCCCCUCUGGAGGAAUGCAGCAUCAGUGUGGAUUCACAGCAUUGCUGCAGGCAGCAAACGGAGAAACAGGUAAAGGGUCAGCAAGCAAUCCACACAGGAUAAAAUGUACAUCGUCAAUAAACAGAGAACACAGAAAACGUUGCAGUCUCACCAGGAGUAACCAGAGAUAUGCAAAUAAAAAAACCACAUGAUAUCACUGCACCCAGAUAUCGGCAAAGUUUAUCAAUCUCUUAUUAGGUGCACGCAAGGAUGUGGGAAAGUUGAACGCUCUCUCACAUGUUGCUAACUCAUUCACUGCUCAGCACAAACAUUUCCUGAGCUCCUACCUGUACCUGGCAUUAUUUUGGUGAAAACACAGUCUGUUUUGAAGUUUAUAUUAUAGCAGCCAGAGUCAAAUAAUAAACAAAUAACCAUAUGGUAAGGUCAGAAGGAAGGGCAGAAGGUUAAAGGCUAUAAAGAAAAAUAAAUCAGGGUAAAUACAGAGCACAGAAGUCUGCAAACAUUUCCUGCGAAAGGCCAGACAGUAAACAUUUUAGGUUGUAGGAAAAUGACCUCGGUCGAAACUCCUGGCAUUCCGCAUUUCAUUGCUUUUCACUUUAUAGCGCUUCACAGAUACUGUAUUUUUUAUUACAAAUCGAAUCUCCAUGGCAACCCAGUGUCAAGCACGUCUAUCAAUGCCACUUUCCAACAGCAUUUGCUCACUUCGGGGCUCGGUGUCACAUUUUGGUAAUUCUCUUAAUAUCUNNNNNNNNNNNNNUAAAAUUUGAAACAUUUUCAUCACUAUUACAUUUGUCAGGGUGAUAUGUGGUCAGUGAUCUUUGAUGUUGCUACUGUAGUUCUUACGGGGUUCCACAAACCAUGCCCACGUAAGACAGUAAACUUACUCCACAAAUGUCCACUGUGUUCUGGCUGCUCCAGUGAGGGGCCGUUCCCAUCCCCCUCCCUGUCUCUGAGCCUCCCUAUCCUGAGACACAACAAUACUGAGAUGAGUUAACAACACUGAUAAUGGCCUCUGGGUGUUCAUGUGAAAGAAAGAGUCACACCUAUCUCACUUUAAAUCAAAAGCUGGAAGUGAUUAAGCUUAGGGAGGAAGACAUGUCAAACUGUGGAUAAGCCAAAAGCCAGGCCUCUAAGGGAGCUGUUAGUGUAAAGUAAAAACUCUUGAAAAAAAUCAACAGCGCUACUCUUGUGAAUACAUAAAUGACCAAAAGAAAGCAGGCAAACAGUCCUGCUGCUGCCGUGGAGAAAGCUUCAGUGGUCUGGAUGGAAGAUCGAACCAGUCUCAGUACUCCAGUAAACUAAAACCUAGAUCAGUAGGAGGCCCCAGCUCUGUUCAGUUCCAUAAAGUCUAAAAGAGAUGAGGAAGCUUGUGGAAGAGAAGUCUGAAGCUAACAGAAACUGGUUCACGAGGCUUAAGGAAAGAAACCGUCUCCACGACACUGAACUGUGAGUUGAAACAGCAGGUGCUGACACAGAAGCUGUGGCAAGCGUACACUGUAGGAAAUAGAAAAUAAACUAAUCGAGACUCCUCAAAAGCUUUUUCUUUGCAAUAAAAUAUACAAAGAAAGAUGUAUAUUUGAAAUUCCUUUNNNNNNNNNNNNNNNNNNNNNNNNNNNNNNNNNNNNNNNNNNNNNNNNNNNNNNNNNNNNNNNNNNNNNNNNNNNNNNNNNNNNNNNNNNNNNNNNNNNAAGAUGUAUAUUUGAAAUUCCUUUUAUGUUUAUACCUUAGCUCACAACACGAGGGAACUCCUUUUCAAAGGAUAACACAAGUAAGCGUCAAGCAUAAAGAUGGAGCACCUAGACAAAGCAGCUUACACUGGCGGCCCAGAACCAAGAGCGUCUGCUUUUAAUGACUGUACAAAUUACAACACCCGGGGCCCAUACAAGGUGAGAAACUACAAUAAAGCAACUAGAGAUCCCUACUUCCUGUGAAUAGGUAAAAAAGUCUUUUUUUCUGGUCUUAAUUGUGGAUAAAGGUGGGGGGAGUAUCUGAAUUUUAAUCACGAACUGACCUAUCUGUAUGGUCCAAAGCAUACACUAUUAUUGUUUAGUCACUAAGUCACGUCCAACUCUUUGCAACCCUAUGGACCUGAAGCCCACCAGGCUCCUCUGUCCACGGGAUUUCCCAGGCAAGAAUGCUGGAGUGGGCUGCCACUGCCUCCUCCAGGGGGUCCUCCUGACCCAGGGAUCGAACCCAGGUCACCUCCAUGGGCAGGCAGGGUCUUUACCACUGAGCCACCAGGGAGGCUAAAGCACUCCGAACAGAGGAAUUAAUCUGAAGUAGCCCCACCUUAGUGGCUGUCCCAAAGUAAGAGAAAACACAGGUGCCUCCAGAGGAAGUCUCCUCGUGAUGUGCAAUCUUCCCAUUUUUACAAUUAAAAUCUCCACACAAACUCAAAAUAGAAAUGACGUGAGAAAAGCAAGCGUUGUAGUGAGUGAGUGCACUGGGUUUGAGAGUUUUAUUUGCUGUAAAAAUCUAUGUCAACAGUUAUCUUCUUUCUGUAUCACAGACUGUUCUGUUGUCUUCUGACUUCCCAAUGUUGCUGAUGAGAAUUCUUUGUCAUUUGACUUGCUGUUGCUGAGAUGGUCUGUCUGACUUUGGUAUUUUAAAAUUUCAUGGUAAUGUCCUGAAUUGUUUUCAAUAUCUUAAAAUUCCAAGCAAAUGUGAUCAUGAGACUCACUAAAAAAUUUAGGAUACCUUAGAAUUUUAAGAUAUUGAAAACAAUCCAAGAUACUCAACAUGUUUUAAAAAAUAAUAGGCAAUUAAAAGUCACAGGAAAGAACCAAGAGACAAAGUAAGACUUAGCACAGUUUACAAAGGGAAAAUACACCUUCCAAAAACAAACAGAACUAACUGAACAGCAAGUUAGAUGUAGCUGAAAAGAGAACUUUUGAAGCAGGAGAUAGAAAAGAAAAGUAACUAGAAUGUGGAAUAAGGCAAACAGAAAAAAAGUUGUUUAAAGUUCAGAGAUGCAGAAUAGAGAAGUACUAAAAUACAGGUAACAGGAAUUGUUGAAGAACAUGCAGGGAAGAUAUAAGGACAGAAAACCUUUCAGAGUUGAUGACAGACAUAAAUCCUCAGAUUCAGGAAGCACAACAAAUCCCAAUUCAAUAAAGAUAAUUACAAAGAAUUCACACUUCAGCACAUUACUAUGAAACUUUAAAAUA